Molecule: unclassified non-coding RNA, 230 nt
Filed under: Lecanorales sp.
Lineage: Eukaryota; Fungi; Ascomycota; Lecanoromycetes; Lecanorales
Description: partial contains 5.8S ribosomal RNA, internal transcribed spacer 2, and large subunit ribosomal RNA
Source: RNAcentral
CGCACAUUGCGCCCUCUGGCAUUCCGGAGGGCAUACCUGUUCGAGCGUCAUUACAACCCUCAAAGAUGACUCUUUGGCGUUGGGCGAUGCCUGGAGGCAUGCCCCAAAAUCAGCGAUGGCGGCCUUCGGCCACGGGCGCACAAACGUGUCCAGCGGCCGGACGUCGUCAGCCGAUUGACGAAUCUCCAAAUGUUGACCUCGGAUCAGGUAGGGAUACCCGCUGAACUUAA